UGCCAGCAGCCGCGGUAAGACGGAGGGGGUUAGCGUCGUUCGGGAAUUACUGGGCGUAAAGCGCACGUAGGCGGAUUAGAAAGUUAGAGGUGAAAUCCCGGGGCUCAACCCCGGAACUGCCUUUAAAACUACUAGUCUAGAGUUCGAGAGAGGUGAGUGGAAUUCCGAGUGUAGAGGUGAAAUUCGUAGAUAUUCGGAGGAACACCAGUGGCGAAGGCGGCUCACUGGCUCGAUACUGACACUCAGAGACGAAAGCUAGGGUAGCAAAUGGGAUUAGAUA
RNAcentral lists this ribosomal RNA (280 nucleotides) under uncultured bacterium. RNAcentral's name for it is "partial 16S ribosomal RNA". It matches the Rfam family "Bacterial small subunit ribosomal RNA", at positions 506 to 784 of the family's 1533-position model. The record is from RNAcentral.